Molecule: long non-coding RNA, 117 nt
Organism: Gordionus sp. m RMFG-2023
Lineage: Eukaryota; Metazoa; Nematomorpha; Gordioida; Chordodea; Parachordodidae
Exons: 3
Source: RefSeq, a predicted model, not a curated record
CUCAAUAUAAUCCAUUCAGGAACUCCAACCAAUCAAACAUCACUUGAUAUUCCAUUCAGGAACUCCAACUAAUCAAGCCUCAUUUAUAAUCCAUUCAGGAACUCCAACCAAUCAAGG